Molecule: ribosomal RNA, 323 nt
Filed under: uncultured Chloroflexota bacterium
Lineage: Bacteria; Bacillati; Chloroflexota
Description: bacterial SSU rRNA
Rfam family: Bacterial small subunit ribosomal RNA
Source: RNAcentral
GAUGAACGCUGGCGGCGUGCUUAAUACAUGCAAGUCGAACGGAGGUAUGUAGCAAUACGUAUCUUAGUGGCGAACGGGUGAGUAACGCGUUGGUGACCUGCCCCAGAGAGGGGGAUAACAGUUCGAAAGGACUGCUAAUACCGCAUGUGAUCAUUAGUUUUAGAAUCUAGUGAUUAAAGCAGUAAUGCGCUUUGGGAGGGACCUGCGUCCCAUCAGCUAGUUGGUGAGGUAAUGGCUCACCAAGGCUACGACGGGUAGGGAACCUGAGAGGGUGGUUCCCCACACUGGCACUGAAACACGGGCCAGACACCUACGGGAGGCUG